Molecule: non-coding RNA, 88 nt
Organism: Flavobacterium hercynium
Lineage: Bacteria; Pseudomonadati; Bacteroidota; Flavobacteriia; Flavobacteriales; Flavobacteriaceae
Source: Rfam
UUCUGGGCUCGCAUGAGGGAUAGUAGUGGAAAUCCUUUUUGUUUUUUCUUUAAAAACAAAAAGAUUGAAACAAAUAGCCCGACCCGGA